GUGCUACCUUUGGCAGCAUGGAUACUAAAACUGGAAUGAUACAGAGAAGAUUAGCAUGGCCCCUGCGCAAGGCUGACAGGCAAAUCUGUGAUGUGUUCCAUAUUUGU
Molecule: small nuclear RNA, 107 nt
Organism: Peromyscus maniculatus bairdii (prairie deer mouse)
Lineage: Eukaryota; Metazoa; Chordata; Mammalia; Rodentia; Cricetidae
Source: Ensembl